ACAAAAGUUUGGACUCCUUUCUUUUUGAUGAAACAAGAAGGUCAAUCUUGGAUUGGAGAAAACGCUUUGAUAUUAUCGUUGGGAUUGCUCGUGGAAUCUUAUAUAUUCACCAAGAUUCUAGGUUGAAAAUUAUCCAUAGAGAUCUAAAAACCAGCAAUAUCCUAUUGGAUGAAGAAAUGAAUCCAAAAAUUUCAGAUUUUGGCCUAGCUAGAAUCUUCAAAGGCGACGCAACUCAUGAGAAGACAAACAGAAUAGUUGGAACAUUUGGGUACAUGUCUCCAGAAUAUGUGGUAUUUGGAAAGUUUUCAACGAAAUCUGAUGUCUUUAGUUUUGGCAUCAUAUUAUUAGAGAUUAUUACAGGGAAAAGGAACAAUAGCUUUUAUCAAGAGGAUUUUUACCCAAGCAUGAUAGGAAAA
RNAcentral lists this unclassified non-coding RNA (416 nucleotides) under Hevea brasiliensis (rubber tree). The record is from RNAcentral. Lineage: Eukaryota; Viridiplantae; Streptophyta; Magnoliopsida; Malpighiales; Euphorbiaceae.